This 389-nucleotide ribosomal RNA is filed under the name Embryophyta sp. RNAcentral's name for it is "partial small subunit ribosomal RNA". It matches the Rfam family "Eukaryotic small subunit ribosomal RNA", at positions 582 to 975 of the family's 1831-position model. The record is from RNAcentral. Lineage: Eukaryota; Viridiplantae; Streptophyta.
AUUCCAGCUCCAAUAGCGUAUAUUUAAGUUGUUGCAGUUAAAAAGCUCGUAGUUGGAUCUUGGGUCGUAAGGGUCGGUCCGCCUACUCGGUGUGCACCUGCCCUUCCGUCCCUUUUGUCGGCGGCGUGCUCCUGGCCUUAAUUGGCUGGGUCGCGGUUCCGGCGCUGUUACUUUGAAAAAAUUAGAGUGCUCAAAGCAAGCUUAUGCUCUGAAUACAUUAGCAUGGAAUAACGUGAUAGGAGUCUGGUCCUAUUGUGUUGGCCUUCGGGACCGGAGUAAUGAUUAAUAGGGACUGUCGGGGGCAUUCGUAUUUCAUUGUCAGAGGUGAAAUUCUUGGAUUUAUGAAAGACGGACCACUGGGAAAGCAUUUGCCAAGGAUGUUUUCAUCA